RNAcentral lists this ribosomal RNA (673 nucleotides) under Bacillus sp. (in: firmicutes). RNAcentral's name for it is "bacterial SSU rRNA". It matches the Rfam family "Bacterial small subunit ribosomal RNA", at positions 38 to 693 of the family's 1533-position model. The record is from RNAcentral. Lineage: Bacteria; Bacillati; Bacillota; Bacilli; Caryophanales; Bacillaceae.
GGCAGUGCGGCAGCUAUAAUGCAAGUCGAGCGGACAGAAGGGAGCUUGCUCCCGGAUGUUAGCGGCGGACGGGUGAGUAACACGUGGGUAACCUGCCUGUAAGACUGGGAUAACUCCGGGAAACCGGAGCUAAUACCGGAUAGUUCCUUGAACCGCAUGGUUCAAGGAUGAAAGACGGUUUCGGCUGUCACUUACAGAUGGACCCGCGGCGCAUUAGCUAGUUGGUGAGGUAACGGCUCACCAAGGCGACGAUGCGUAGCCGACCUGAGAGGGUGAUCGGCCACACUGGGACUGAGACACGGCCCAGACUCCUACGGGAGGCAGCAGUAGGGAAUCUUCCGCAAUGGACGAAAGUCUGACGGAGCAACGCCGCGUGAGUGAUGAAGGUUUUCGGAUCGUAAAGCUCUGUUGUUAGGGAAGAACAAGUGCAAGAGUAACUGCUUGCACCUUGACGGUACCUAACCAGAAAGCCACGGCUAACUACGUGCCAGCAGCCGCGGUAAUACGUAGGUGGCAAGCGUUGUCCGGAAUUAUUGGGCGUAAAGGGCUCGCAGGCGGUUUCUUAAGUCUGAUGUGAAAGCCCCCGGCUCAACCGGGGAGGGUCAUUGGAAACUGGGAAACUUGAGUGCAGAAGAGGAGAGUGGAAUUCCACGUGUAGCGGUGAAAUGCGUAG